CCCUUAGAUGUUCUGGGCCGCACGCGCGCUACACUGACGAAUGCAACGAGCUUAUAACCUUGGCCGAAAGGUCUGGGUAAUCUCCAAAUUUCGUCGUGAUGGGGAUAGAUUAUUGCAAUUAUUAAUCUUCAACGAGGAAUGCCUAGUAAGCGCAAGUCAUCAGCUUGCGUGGAUUACGUCCCUGCCCUUUGUACACACCGCCCGUCGCUCCUACCGAUUGAAUGGUCCGGUGAAGCGUUCGGACCGUGGCCUUUGGACGGUUCGCCGUCUGUUGGCUGCGGGAAGUUCGUUAAACCUUAUCAUUUAGAGGAAGGAGAANUCGUANCA
This 327-nucleotide ribosomal RNA is filed under the name uncultured eukaryote. Its description in RNAcentral is "partial 18S ribosomal RNA". It matches the Rfam family "Eukaryotic small subunit ribosomal RNA", at positions 1470 to 1796 of the family's 1831-position model. The record is from RNAcentral.